AUAAAGGCUUACCGAAACCCUUUACUCCCACCAAGCUAAAUCCACUCCUAGACCUCCCACCAUAAUAGGAAAAAUAUAGCAAGCGACGAGUCUGUUUCCCGUAAGGCCUCCUGUACGUAUUAUAUUUCAAUACAUAAGUUAAUCUUCCUUUUUCCGUGUAGUUCUAGUUCUACCCCAGUCUCGACCCCACAAUCAUGAGGUCAUAAAGAUCUUACGUCGAGUGAUGAACAUGGCAGCAGGAUGAAAAAUACGCGUGAAAGACCAGGAAAAGAAAUCAAAUUACGCAGAUAGCCGGCGAUGACCUCAGCUGUUUGUCUAGUCUUGGUGCCGAAUGGGCGAGAAAUGUUUAUAAAAUUAGAUGGCUAUUACCAAUCUGACAAUUCUUCGCACGAGUUUAGAACACAUUCUACCGAUUGCUUGAUGUAGAUGUCUCGCUUGCUAAACGUUACAUUACCUGGGGGCCAGAAGUUUCACCAUGUUUACGCUGAUGGUUGGUUGAUUUCUUCAGCUAAGCUUUAGGCAGAAUCGACGGGGAUCAAACAUUUA
Long non-coding RNA from Cimex lectularius (bed bug), 546 nucleotides. RefSeq lists it as uncharacterized. The record is from RefSeq and is a predicted model, not a curated record. NCBI's taxonomy places the organism in Eukaryota, Metazoa, Arthropoda, Insecta, Hemiptera, Cimicidae. The transcript is spliced from 4 exons.